Molecule: ribosomal RNA, 396 nt
Filed under: uncultured microorganism
Description: bacterial SSU rRNA
Rfam family: Archaeal small subunit ribosomal RNA
Source: RNAcentral
GCGCAGCAGGCGAGAAACCUCCGCAAUGCGGGAAACCGCGACGGGGUCAGCCGGAGUGCUCGCGCAUCGCGCGGGCUGUCGGGGUGCCUAAAAAGCACCCCAUAGCAAGGGCCGGGCAAGGCCGGUGGCAGCCGCCGCGGUAAUACCGGCGGCCCGAGUGGCGGUCACUUUUAUUGGGCCUAAAGCGUCCGUAGCCGGGCUGGUAAGUCCUCCGGGAAAUCUGGUCGCUUAACGAUCAGACUUCCGGAGGAUACUGCCAGCCUAGGGACCGGGAGAGGCCGGGGGUAUUCCCGGGGUAGGGGUGAAAUCCUGUAAUCCCGGGAGGACCACCUGUGGCGAAGGCGCCCCGGCUGGAACGGGUCCGACGGUGAGGGACGAAGGCCAGGGGAGCGAACC